This 536-nucleotide ribosomal RNA is filed under the name Rhizoperenniporia japonica. RNAcentral describes it as "SSU rRNA". It matches the Rfam family "Bacterial small subunit ribosomal RNA", at positions 378 to 950 of the family's 1533-position model. Lineage: Eukaryota; Fungi; Basidiomycota; Agaricomycetes; Polyporales; Polyporaceae. The record is from RNAcentral.
AAAGAGUGAACUAGCUAACUGAAAUCAUAGAAUUUCUUCAAAUUCAUGAUGUCGUAAGGGAAAAUAAUGAUAAUACCUUACUAUGAGUGUUGUCCAAACUUUGGUGCCAGAAGACUCGGUAAGACCAGAAACGCAAACGUUAAUCAUCUUCAACAGGCGUAAAGGGUAUGUAGGCAGCUUUCAAUCAGAAUAUAUUAAGCAAAUAAAGUAGUCUAAAUGAAAGCUAGAAUCAAAUAGAGGUUAAAGUGUAGAACGCCUAGAGGAGGUCUGAUAUCCGUAGAUCCUAGGUAGAAUACUCAGGGCGAAGGCCACUCUCCACUAAUGAUUGACGCUGAGAAACGAAGGUUAGGGUAGGAAAUAGGAUUAGAUACCCCGGUACUCCUUUCUGUAAACGAUGAAUGGUAGUCAUUAGUUCCUAAAUUAACUAGAGGCGAAGUUAACACAUUAACCAUUCCGCCUUGUGAGUACUACUGCAAAGUAGAAAACAAAAAAAUUAGUCGGUCUCGAAGCAAACGGAGUGAAGCAUGUUAUUUAAU